Non-coding RNA from Suillus lakei, 131 nucleotides. The record is from the annotation of a GenBank genome assembly. NCBI's taxonomy places the organism in Eukaryota, Fungi, Basidiomycota, Agaricomycetes, Boletales, Suillaceae.
UCGGAUAUGGUGUAAUGGUUAACAUUACCGCCUCUCAUAUAAGACGUAUUGCUGUGAAUCGUGGUAUUGCUAUGAUCACGGUAGUAUUGCUGUUAUCGCGGUAGCUCGGGGUUCGAUUCCCCGUAUCCGAA